GAGGGUAUAGCUGAGGGGUAAAUUGCGUGCUUGGCAUGCACAAGGUCCUGGGUUCAAUCCCCAGUACCUCCA
Molecule: transfer RNA, 72 nt
Filed under: Camelus ferus (Wild Bactrian camel)
Lineage: Eukaryota; Metazoa; Chordata; Mammalia; Artiodactyla; Camelidae
Rfam family: tRNA
About the family: Transfer RNA (tRNA) molecules are approximately 80 nucleotides in length. Their secondary structure includes four short double-helical elements and three loops (D, anti-codon, and T loops).
Source: Rfam by way of RNAcentral